AAUUAGCCUCUUAAUUGGGGGAUAGUAUGAAUGGUAAUAUUGACCAGAUCCUAAUUUUUAUAUUGUGAAUUUUGAGUAAAGGUGAAAAUUCCUUUAUAAUAAUUUUAGACAAAAAGACCCUAUGAAGCUUACAAUGAAUAUACAACAAAUAAAUUAAGAAUUGUUUCUUUGGGGAAAAGGUUAACGAUUGUAUUUUUAGAGUGUAAGAUCCUGAAAAGAACUACGAAAAAGCUCCCCUAGGGAUAACAGCGCCAUUUUAUUUUAAAGCCCACAUUAAAAAUAAAGA
This 286-nucleotide ribosomal RNA is filed under the name Subeucalanus subcrassus. RNAcentral describes it as "partial 16S ribosomal RNA". The record is from RNAcentral. Lineage: Eukaryota; Metazoa; Arthropoda; Copepoda; Calanoida; Eucalanidae.